RNAcentral lists this long non-coding RNA (18422 nucleotides) under Citrus sinensis (sweet orange). RNAcentral describes it as "long non-coding RNA (CSIN_LNC001389)". The record is from RNAcentral. Lineage: Eukaryota; Viridiplantae; Streptophyta; Magnoliopsida; Sapindales; Rutaceae.
UCACUUCCAUGCCCUCAACUAUAAUCCCACCUUUUAGUUGAUACCCUUUCACCUCCUUCAAGCUCAUUUUCACCUCAUCAUCAUCACACACACCAUUAAAGAAUUUUCCAAGCUCGAUUUCCACCCACCCAUCUUCUUUUUCACAUGGGAUUUGUUCAUUUUCGCCGCCUUUAUGUGUCAACUUUGAUGUCACCAUCAUUUCCAUGCCAUCCACUAGCACUGAUGAAUCACUUUUUUGCUUGCUGCCCAAAUAAGCCUUGCCUUUGGACGCCUGACGACCACCAAUUUCAAUUGAAAUUUCAGCGGCUUCUGAAUCAAGCCCUUAUGCUCUAUCACUUAUUUUCAUUAUAAGAUAAGCUCCAUACAUUGUGUUUUGUGACAGCAUUUUGGUCUUGAUCUUGCCUUCAAUUUCCAGCCAAUUUGAUGUUCUCAGCACCGCAACUUCUGAAAAUCUACAAUAAUAAAAAAAUAAUUAAUUAUCAUAUAAAAUGUGCGUUUACUUAGCAAGUUUAUAUAUCGUUUUUUUUUUAGAAAAAAAAAAAAAAAAAAGAGACCAACCUUGAUUCCUGCAUGGACACCCAGCUCCAAUAAAUUGGAUUGCUACUCCAUGUUAUACUAAGAGCUCUUGCAGACAAAAUAUAAGAAUUUUUGCCUGAUGAUUUCUCUAACUUGAAGCUCUACACAUGUUGACAAAGAAACAUAAUUGAACAUUUUAUAACUGAUUUUCUUCAAAGCAGGCGUCUGUAUUUUAUAAACUUAGCAAGCUUAAUUAGCACUAAGACUGCAUGCAAACGUUCGUACCAGAGAAGGGAAUGAUUGGAGGAAAAAGUAAUAAAGUACGUACGAUCUUGCCGGCAUCAAUGAGAAAAGGGUGGCAAAGGAGAGCGAAGAGCUCCUUCUUGGAGGAAAAUGCGAGGGGAGAGACUGAUUUGGAGACGAUCUCGAGCCAAUCUGAGGGCAAGAACUUGUCCCAGAUAAUGUCGGAGUCCAUGGCCGAUCGAAACGAAGAAGAAACAAGCGAUGAUCUGCAUGCAUCUAACGGACAAGUGAGGGAGAAAACAGUCGCAACACACUCUUCUGGCAGCACGUUGAAGUAGCAAUUGGUAUCGAAAUUGGCUUCCAUUGUUUUUCAGAAAUACGUAUAGCUUUAAUUCUUUGUUCAUCAGAGUCCCUGAAACCUACUGAUAUCUUUACGCUUGGUUUUGAUUUUUGUCUUUGUUUUAAGGUUGCUUUCAGGGCGGGCAUAAUGUUGUAUAAUUGUCCAAAGAGAGAUACGUAAUUCAUCAAAUAAAUGCGUUGAAAUAAUUGCGAUAAAGAAGUGUACACGUUAGCUGGUAGGGAAUGCAGUAGAAUAUAUUAAUAUAAUUAAUUAAUUACUAAAGACAGAAUUAAAUGCGCAUUAUAAUAUUUAUCUAAUCCACUUAUAAUAUAUAUUUUAAAAUUUAAAAUUUUUAAUGUUAAUUUAUAAAGCUUAACAAUCAUGCUUAUUUUGCAUUCUCAUUAACUUUUGAUAGAUUUAUAUGCGUCCGGAUGCCCAGAUUUUUUUUAAAAUUUAGAUUUGUUAAGCUGAAUGGCUUAAUAGAGUCAUUUUUCAAUGUAAUAUAAAGUCGUACUAUUUAAUAGCACUAAAUCUGAUUCUAUUAAAUCGCACGAUUUAACAGCGUGUCUACAUAGAAAAAAAAAAACAAGAGAGUGCUAGCACCAAAGAAUGAUUGUAUAUAUUUCAAUAUUUGUGCAUCUCUCUCUCUCUCUCUCUCUCUCUCUCUAUCUCUCUCUCUCUAUAUAUAUAUAUAUAAAUCAUUCUCAAGUGCGAGCAGUCUCAUUGUUUUUUAAUUCAGACACUCUAUUAAGCUAUUUGAUUGAAUAGAGUUAAUUUUUAAUAAAUUAUAAGAUGUACAAUUUAAUAGCAUUAAAAAUUUAACUCUAUUGAACCGCAAAGCUUAAUAGUGCGUUCGCAUGAGGAAAAAAAUGAGGGUCUCCCCCCAAACACAAACAAUUCUUCUUUAGUGUAAGCUCCCUCAUUUUUUUCACACGGACAUAUUGUUAAACUAGACAGUUUAAUAAAGUCAAUAAAUAACACUAUUAAAAUAACACUAUUGAACCGCACAAUUUUAUAGUGCAUAAGAAUUUAAUGUUUAUUGAUUGAGAUUUUUCAUUCCUAUCCAAACUUUAAUAAAUACAUUUAAAAAAAAAAAGGAUCAACAUUUCAUGCAUGUUAUACAUAUGAUUGAAUUGGAGUUUAAUGAUAAUAAUAUGAUCGUUCAAUGUAUUUUUGACAACAAUGUGGAAACUGCUUUCACUAGAAGGAGUUGAAGUAUUUUUAUCAUUUAUUUUAUAUUGGUACCAACCAAUAACGACAGGAGUUGAGAAUAAACAAUCAUAUAUAAUAAAUAGGCUUAUAAGAACACAUUCACUGGGAAAGUGCUUUCUAGCUGCUGCAAAAUGUGAUUUUAAUACGGCACAAGACUGCCAAGUGCUUACAGCGAACCACUGUUCACAAAGACGCCCAAACUCGUUUGACGAUGCUCAUACAAUCCAUGGCCUCUGCCUCUCUUUCCGUAUCUCUCGGAUUACGCCACGAAGCAGCCAGUUAUGCCUUAAAGCAGGAUUUGCUUUAGCUUCUUCCGUGGCUCCAAUUAUUGUCCGCUAUUGCUGGACUUAAUUAUAUAACUGGCCCAUUAAGGAAGAAUUACUUUUAAAUUGACAAAAACCCCAUUUCGAUGCUCUGUAGAAACACAAGCAAUCACAGUUCCCUAGCUAAAACAGUGUAAUAGAAGAUAAUUGUGAACCAUUUAUUAUAAAAUUUAAUCAGAAUUAACGGGUUCGUUAAAUUUAGUUUUUGAACUAAAACAUCCAUCUUUCUUCUAAUGACAUAUUAAAAUGUAUGCUUCUGCUGUUUCAAUUUUCUUCACAUGUAACACAAAAUUAUUUGUUAACCGACCAAUAACUGACCCAAAAUUCAAAUUAUACAAGAGUUUGCUACUUUCAAAGGAGAAAAAAAAAAAAGCAACUUAGUUCAGAAGUUGGCAAUGUGGAAUGGAUGACCUAAUUAAUGAUAAAGCACUAACUUGUUCCUCGUCGAGGCUCCGUGCAUUGAGAAAUUCUAAAAUACCUUUAAUGUAUUAUAACUAAUUGAUGCAUGCAUUACAUGUGUAAUUGAAUUUAAUAUAACUACCACUUGUAUGAUAAUUUUUUAAAAUAAAUACAUACAUGUCAUAGUAUUAUUUAGUUGUCACAUGGCUGACAUAAUACCUCUGAUAUAUUCUAAAUUUUCUCUCGUGCAUUAGGAAAUGGCAUGAUGAACCGUUCCAUUCACCAUGCACUUAAGAUAAUAUUAGAAAUUAAUAACAAUUUGCACAACUUUCAUUUGUGAAACGGAUUCACACUCUAAUUAUUCUAAUUGACGACGAUUAGAUAAUUUGGCCAGUUUUGGUGUCUACCAAUACAGUGGUUCGACUUAACAACACUGAUCAUUGACCCGUCAAAUUUAAAUCUUAUAAUGUUUAAAAUCAACAAUAUUAAGUCGGUUUUAUAGAAUUGGAAUGUAAAAUUUAUAUUCGGAUCGAACAUUCUAGUAAUAAUUAUAUGUUAAGUAGUUGUUAACUAUUUAUGUCAUCAAUAAUGUGAUAAUUAUGUUGUAGUAAUUGAUAAGAAGCGAGUCAAGUGCUAUCAUACAAGGAGAACGUAUUUUAUAUAUAAUUUAAUUGGUCGUAAAAUUGAAUUAUAAUGUACAUGUCCUUAAGGUGUUUAUUUGACAAUGUACCCCUAAUUGACAUACAUGAGUUAGGAUCAAGGAGAAAUAAACGAAAAGAGUAUGAUGACUAAAAUCUAAAGUAACCGGGUAUAUUGUGAAUGGUACUUUUCACUUGCCAAUAAUUCGGCUUUGAGUAUAAUAUAUAUUUACUGGAUGAGAGAUAACUAUGGCCCAAAUCAUUCACACAUAUUGAUGUUGGAUAGAGAAAUUGAAUUGGGUAUUGAUCGAUCGAUUUCCAUAACUGAUAACUAAUGGUUGGUUAAAUAGUUUUGAUCAAUGAUCGAUUGUAUGAUUAUGAAUUACGAGAGAAGACCUUGUUACCUUACGUGAUGAGGUAACCACAACUCUUUUAUGAUUGUUCAGUACAUCUCCAACCGUUUGAUUAAAUCUAUUGGUUUCAAUUCUAUAACGUUUAUGACCUUAUCAUAUAAAGUAACAAAGUCCUUUAUAUAUUUAUCGUGCAAUUUAUUUAAUUAGUCAAAUUGUCUAAUUCAUUUCUAUCAAAAAAAUUAGGUUUGCACAACGACAAUCUUCUACAUAUUUUCCAUAAAAGUAGUAUUCUUACUUAUUUCGAUGAUCCUCGAUACAAAAGAAAGAAUUCUGGAAUUACUAAAUGGAGGACCAUGGGAGUGCAUUCAAAAAAUAAAAAGUACUCUUUUUAUAUUUUUAUCGUGUAAUUUAUUUAAUUGGCCAAUUUAUCUAAUCCAUCUCUAUCAAAAAAUUAGGUUCGUACAACGACAAUUUUUUAUGUAUUUUUCAUAAAAAUAAUAUUCUUACUUAUUUUGAUGAUUCUCGAUACAGAAGAAAGAGUUCUAAAAUUAUUAAAUAGAGGACCAUGGGAGCACAUUCAAUCGCUAAAAAAGAGAACUUGAUUGAGACUAAACAAUUUUUAAAAAUGGAUCUAUGUUCAAAAAGUAAUUUAGGAACAUAAUAGAUCCGAAAUAGACAUUAAUUUGAUGUGAUCCAGUCCAUUCAUCUUCACAAAUACAACAGCAAUAAAUCAUAUUUAGUUAUAGAUUUUAAGCUGGGUGUAUAGCUCGCAGUGAAUAAAUAUGCAUUACAGUUUUAACUUUUACGUAUUCAAUCACUUAAGAGUUCAAAUAAUUAUAGAGAUAAAGAGUCCAUAUUUUAUUUUAGUGGGUAAAAUUUAUUGUUCCCAUCCGAACUUUGACAAUUAAAACAAAAAUAUAUAUAUAUUCAUGAUGUUUUAUAAAUUUAUACUACGAAAAUCUAUAUCAGUAAAUUUAUUUGUUUGGUGUAACAAUUAAGUUGUACCAAAAUAAAGAUGGAAUUCUCACAUUUAACAUGAAAAAAUUCAUUAACAUUACAAGAUCAACUCGUCGAAAUAAUGUGUUCAAUUUUGGUGUCUUCGAACAAAUUAUAAGACAAUUUUUUUUUACCUGCUAGCACAAGUUAGAUUCAAACAUAUUAUGGUUAAGGUACAUACAGAUUUUUUUUUUUUUUUAAACUGAUUAAGCAUCAGGUUACUGUAUUACACAGAGAUACUUAUAAAUAACAACAUAUCAUUGCACUGAUAUUUACAAUCAGAUAUAUACCUGGGAUUUACAUUAUUACAUUUUUAUUCUAUGAAGUACAUGCCCAGCCAAAUACCCCUCAAGGAAGAGGGAUGUCUUGACUCCAAAUGACAACAUAUCAUUGCACUGAUAUUUACAAUCAGAUAUAUACCUGGGAUUUACAUUAUUACAUUUUUAUUCUAUGAAGUACAUGCCCAGCCAAAUACCCCUCAAGGAAGAGGGAUGUCUUGACUCCAAAUGACAACAUAUCAUUGCACUGAUAUUUACAAUCAGAUAUAUACCUGGGAUUUACAUUAUUACAUUUUUAUUCUAUGAAGUACAUGCCCAGCCAAAUACCCCUCAAGGAAGAGGGAUGUCUUGACUCCAAAUGACAACAUAUCAUUGCACUGAUAUUUACAAUCAGAUAUAUACCUGGGAUUUACAUUAUUACAUUUUUAUUCUAUGAAGUACAUGCCCAGCCAAAUACCCCUCAAGGAAGAGGGAUGUCUUGACUCCAAAUGACAACAUAUCAUUGCACUGAUAUUUACAAUCAGAUAUAUACCUGGGAUUUACAUUAUUACAUUUUUAUUCUAUGAAGUACAUGCCCAGCCAAAUACCCCUCAAGGAAGAGGGAUGUCUUGACUCCACUCGCAUUUCGCAAGGGAGAAAGACGUUAUAAACAAUCUCCACACAAUUAUAACUAAUUGAGGAAGUUUGAGUUCGUGGAGACUCGAACCAUUGCCCUCAUAGUCAUGCUUGACUUUAAGGGCAAUGGUUCACCACCGGGCCACAAGCCCAAGUGGCAGGUACAUACAGAUUCAAUUAAAUGUUAAAGUCGGCAAACAAUUACUGGGCUCCACUGAGAAUAUAAUUAAUUAAUCGACUAAAGCAAUUGGGUAGUUAACAUAGAAUUUGACAAAUUAACAAAAACAUCCCUUGAAGUUUGGAAAAACUAAAGGCUCAGUAAAAGAAAAAAUUAUGGUACCUUACGCUUAUAUAAAAAAGGGAAAUUAUCUACCGUCCACCCGUUUUUUAACUUUUUUAAAAAAACAUAAUUCUUUUUUUUUUGCUGGAAUCCACCUGAAGUUAUAUUUUUUUUUUUCACUUUUCCACUUCCGUUUGGAAUCCAUUAAGGAAAUUAACGGAAUAUUGCUUAAAUGACUUUUUUACCCUCAAAUGUAAAAGAUAAUUUAUCCAUCGACCACCUAUUUUUUUCGUAUUUUUCAGAAAUACACAAUUUUUUAAUUUUUUUUUGUUGACCUCCACUCGAAGUUGUAUUGUUUUACACCUAUCCACCACUGUGUCGUUGUGAAAUGACGAUUUUACCCUUAUGAUGUUAGCAAAGUUAUAACGGUCUCCAAACGGAAGUGGAAAAGUGAAAAGAAAUGUAAUUUCAGGUGGAUUCCAGCAAAAAAAAAAAUUGUGUAUUUUUAAAAAAACAAUGAAAAAAGGGGUGAAUGGUGGAUAAUUUCCCUAUGAAAAAUAUUAUUUGCAUGAGUUGUUUGGGGAAAAGGCGAUUUUUGUGAUGUGAGUUUUUGGGAAAAAGGAGAUUUUUGUGAUGUGAGCUGUGUUUUGUUUGAAAUUGGGUUGAUGAGAAAGAAUAGUUUAUGAUAAGUUAAAAGCUCAUUUAAUCCGUAUAUUUUUUAAUUAAUUAGUCUCUAUAUUUUUUAAAAUACCUCUAAACAUCUACAUCGUUAAAUUAUUUACACUAUUGUUAUUAUUUUUUGUUCUUUUUUUACUUACUUUUUCAAGAUUAUUUUCUUACAAUAAUAUUUCUUUUUCUGGAAACAAUAAGGAGAGAAAAUUAAUGUAAAAAAAUAAAAUUAAUGUAAAAUACCUCUAAACAUAUUUUUAUUUGUAUUUUUAUUUUUGGGGUUAAAUUGAUAAUUUAAUUUUUGUUAUUAAUGUAAAAAAAGAAAUAUUAUUGUAAGAGAGUAAUAUUUUAAAAAUAAGUAAAAAAAACAAAAAAAAUAACAGCAAAGGUAUUAAUAAUUUCACAAUAAAAAUAAUUUAAGAUAUUUUUAAAAAUACAUAAAGUAAACAGACACCAAUCUCGUAAUAUAGAAGUUAAAUAAACUUGUAUUCUUUACUAUACCCGAACGGUAAAAGUACUGGGCACCAUUUUCAAAAUCAGAGGACUCGGCGUGAAAAUAUGUUUUCGUAACUUGGUUUCCCAUCGGGCAGGGGGUGGCUAAUUAAAACCCCAAAGGUUAGUUUUGGGCUGGACUUGCAAUCUGUUCCCAAUUGUAUUUACAUGAGUGAAGCUUUUGACACCCCUAUAAAAUCCUUAUAACACCCCUUUAGAUUUUUAUUUCUUAAAAUAUCCCUCUUCAAGUUACAAAGUACUAAUCAUAUAUUAAAAACAACCAUCUUUUCGUAAAUUUUUUCUCAAAGAAAAAGCAUUUCUUUUAAGUUUUUAUUUUAAAAUAUAUAAAAAUCUUAAAUUAUUUUUUUUCUUAUUGUAUAGUGUCUACCUCCAUAAUCCCAAACUUUUAUAUAUUUUUUAAAAAAAAUUGUAAUUAAAAUUUAAUAUAUAAAUAUAAAUACAAAUAUAAAUUAUAAAAUAGGGUGGGUGUAAAAAAAAAUUUUAAAAGAAAAUUGCAUUCAAGUGUUUAAUUGAAUUUCUAUUUAAAAUAAGAAAUGAAUUAAUUUAACUUUGGUUAUUUUAAUGGUUUCAAUUGAAAAGGGGUUCUAUGCAUUUUGAGGGGCGGCGGAAGGCAUACCCUCUUUAACAUCUAGUUAAUGAUAGAAUGUUUGACAUCGGCCCAAAUCAUGCAUUUAUAUUAUAAAUUUUAAAAUUAGAAGAAGAAAAUGAAUAUUGGGUACUGAUUUUUAUAAAAGAAGUGUUAGACAUCUCAAUAUUUUAUAACAAAUAAUAUGCUUUUCAUCAACUAAAUGAUGGGAUAAUGUAAUUAAUUUAAUUAAAUUUUAUAUUAAAAAAAAUAAACCACUUAAUAUGUAGUCUAUUGUAAAUCUUUCAAUUAAUUAGUUUGUUAUUGUGAGAGAGAUUUUUGGCAAAAUGGCUUUACUAUUUUAUUAUUCAAUUGAUGAUCCUAAUUGACUUUAAUACGUCCACCAAAUUACCUGGCAAGAUUUGAGAGCACCUUGCAUGCAGCCAUAAGCUCAAAACAGUAGUGAUAUUUUGGUGGACAUAAUAGUGACAGUGUAUGGUUGAUUAAAUUAACCUUCAGAAUUCAAGAAGUGUUUCCAUUAAACAUCCACUUACUUGAGUUUUACUCAAGAAGUGCUCAAACAGAUCAUAAGAGAGUCUAAAUUCUUGAAUCUUAUCAAAUUAUAUAAUUAUUUAAUUAAAUAUUUAAUUUUAAAAAAACUAUUAAAUAAAAAAAAAUUUUUUAUGACUUUAUCCGAAUAGGAAAAGAUCUUAAUGGAGAGUAAAUAUUAUAUUAUAAAAAUAUCACUAAUAAAUAUACUUAUUUUCUAAACUGUAAAAUUUAAUCUUUUUAUUCGUUUUGAUUUAUAAAUACAUAAAUGUCAAAUUGUAAAAUUUAAUCUUUUUAUUCGUUUUGAUUUAUAAAUACAUAAAUGUCAAAUUGUAAAAUUUAAUCUUUUUAUUCGUUUUGAUUUAUAAAUACAUAAAUGUCAAAUUGUAAAAUUUAAUCUUUUUAUUCGUUUUGAUUUAUAAAUACAUAAAUGUCAAAUUGUAAAAUUUAAUCUUUUUAUUCGUUUUGAUUUAUAAAUACAUAAAUGUCAAAUUGUAAAAUUUAAUCUUUUUAUUCGUUUUGAUUUAUAAAUACAUAAAUGUCAAAUUGUAAAAUUUAAUCUUUUUAUUCGUUUUGAUUUAUAAAUACAUAAAUGUCAAAUUGUAAAAUUUAAUCUUUUUAUUCGUUUUGAUUUAUAAAUACAUAAAUGUCAAAUUGUAAAAUUUAAUCUUUUUAUUCGUUUUGAUUUAUAAAUACAUAAAUGUCAAAUAAACAUAUUUAAAAUAUGUUUCAUUUAUAAAAUCAAACAAAAUGCCAUUUACAUUUCGACAUGACAAUAUUAAAAAAAAAAGACAAAUAUGUCAUUCAAAUUUUUAUAUUGAGACCCAUUCAAACUUCAGACAAGAGAAUAAAUAAGUCUUCACUAUCAUCAUUUUGAUUUUAAUUCGUGACACAACCAAAUUAUAUAUGAAAUCAAACUAAUGAUAGUAAUACUAUCGACAAAUAAGAAAGAUUGAAGAAUCAAAUUCGUUUACGUAACAUGAGCAACUGAUUUACGGUAGAGACUUGUCAGAGUGUUAUUAAGAUUGCAUGGGCCAGCUGUUUGGGCCAGCCCACAAGAUCUCAUGGUUCCAUUUAUCGUUUGCAUGUUUUAUUAUUUUAUAGACUCCAUUCAAGUUUUGAAAAUUUUAAUCAAUAAAUUUGAUAUUAAAUUUGUUUAUUUAUUUUAAUUGAAGCAUCACACACCCUGACCCGGUUGUUAAGAUAAGAGUGGGUGGGUUAGAUUAAUUGGAGAGAAAACGACAAGUGGGAGAUUGAUGGAGUGGGUGUUUCUUAUUUCUUCUAAUUCUCACCUAAUAGUCCCUAGGAUUAUGAUUUUAUUCUAAUUUAAGAAAAAAUAAUUAAUCAGUCAUAAAAGAAAAAAGAUUGCAGAAAUUUGAUGGGUGCUUUAUUUUUUAAAUUCACAGUACUUUCAAAAACAUAGUUUAUCAAAUACGUUUUGUACAAUUGAUUAUUUUUAUUUCGAAAACAAAUUAUUUUAUAAGUUAAAGGUAUGAGUUCGAACUUGUUGAAUGAGUAUGAGAAAAUUAGGUUAUUAUUAUUAUGGUGCUGAUAAUUACAAAAAAACACAUAUUUUAUAAGUUGCAACAAUUCUUUUAAACUGGCACUUACCAGAUUUUACUGAAAUAGGAUUAAUUGGUAAUAUUAUAACUUUUAAAAUAGUUACCGUCAGCUGUGUUGCAAUAUAAUCAAUCGUGAAGAGUAUUGAUUAAGUGUUUAGUAAAUAUAAUUGUUAAAGUAUUGUUAGAAUACAAAUGACUAAAAUAGAUAUAGUAUCAAGGAAAAUAUACUUCAACACAUAUGCAAACAUGUAUGUUUAAUACUUUUUUUCUCGAAUUAAUUCUUCUUCAUCGUUGUCGUCGUUGUCAUAAUAAUAAUAAUAAUAAAAAAACCUUCUUUCAUCAAAUAACAUUAAAUUUUGUGUAAUCAAAGUUCAAAGAUAUGGUCCUUUGAAAAUGAUAAGAAAGUAUAUUGAUAAAACUCAUCUUAAAUUUUAUCGAAAAUUUGUAAAUAAAAGAUAAGGUAUCAAAACACAUACUAACCUAAGCGGCAAUCUUGCAGUGAUGAUAUUUGAAGUAUUAGAGAAGUUUUGAUGAAAUGGAAAAUAGGAAGAAGAAGAAUUGGGGUAAAGAGCACGGGUAAAGAUAAAAUAAAUCAAAUUAAUGAUAAUGAUCUUAAUUUUUAUUAUUCUAUUUUUUAAAUAAUCAAAGAUAAUUUUGGAUUUAUAUGAAAUAUGUAAGGAUGUAUGUGAAAUUAUAUCAAAUAAAAAUACGUCUCAAAUUUAAGAAGCUACUAUUUUCCUCCUUUUCAAAACUAAUCUAAAAAUGAGGUAAUUUUGUUGAAAUAAUUUAAAAAAUAUAAUAAAUAUUAAAAUUAAUUUUUAUUUUUUUUAAAAAAUAACUAUUGACUCUCCCAACAACAAUCCUAAAUGGACUCCUUACCUAAGGGCUCCGUUUAAUAAAAUUUGAUUCCAUAACCAUUUUAUUGUGAUGGGGUUGGUUGGUAUCAAACUUUUGCUUUAUACUUUUUGUGUUAAAAGUAUUUUAUGUGUCAACAUCACUAUUUUAUUUAUCCGUGAAAUAAAUAGUGGAUAAAUUCAAUAUUUUUUUAUGUAAAACUUUAUAACUCAUAAAAUCAUAUAUUUAUCCCUUCCUAAGAUAUAUAAAAAAAUCCUUUUGCACAAUACUUUAGAAAGUGUAGCAUUACUCGAACUAAAUUUAAGUGUAGUAGCACCAAAACGAAUUUAAUUGGUUGCUUAUAAUAAAUAUAUGUAGUUAAAACAGUCACAGUUUUAACAAAUGUUUUAUCUAAUCAUAAAACUUUCUAUUGUUGUAUUUUUUUAAAUUUUGUUUUCAAAAAAUUAAAUUAAGAAAUAGGCUGCGGAAAAUUUGUGAUGUUUUAAAAUGGUUAAAAGGUAAUUUUACCCAAAAGAAGGAAAAAGGUAAAAGAAAGAGCUCCAAGCAUAAUUGUUUGUAACAAGAAAGAAUCCCAAAUUACUGGUACUGAGAGUAGAAGCAGAGUCCAAAAAAAGAACAGCGACGAUGGAGUUCCCCUUCGGCCACCACCACCGUCGCGAUCCUGAAGAAGAUGAACGACGAGAACGCCCGCCACCUUACUUCGGCCAGCCUCCGCCGCCGCCGCAGCCGUAUUAUCAAGAAAACGAGUAUGCUGCACCCCCCCCACCGCGCCCUGUGCCGCCACCAUACUAUCAAGAACCUGAAUUUUCAUUGCCACCACCUCCGCCCCGGCCGUAUCAUCAAGAAUCACAUGUGAGUCACGUGCAUCACUCCACUGAUCGGCCCGAAGGAUUCGGCUCUUUCAACUAUCAGCAACCACCACCACCAGAGCCAACACACGUGCGCCACGUGUAUCACGCUAGUCAUGAUAAACCAGAAGGACUCGGUUCUUUCAACUACCAGCAAUCGCCGCCGCCGCCACCAGCAGCAGCGUCGGGAGCGGUACAUGUGAGCCAUGUUUCUCAUGAGAAAACUGAGACUGGCCAUCACCAUUCUUUUCUGCAUCAUCACUCUCACUCUGGCUCUGGCCCUGCCCCUUUCCCUGCUCUCUCUGGGAAGCCUACUGUUAGAUUCUUUUGUAAGGCCGAGCCUAAUUUCUCGCUCACCAUUAGAAAUGGGAAGGUGGUUCUUGCUCCAUCUGAUCCCUCCGAUCAGUUUCAGGUGAGUAUUUAUUUUCUAUUUUGUUUACCCGUUUACAGUUGUUGUUGCGCUGCUCUAAGUAUUUAACUUGAUCUGGGUUCUGUUGUUUCCUUUUUGAAAAAGUUAAAGAUUAUUUUUUCCCCCAAGAAAUAUUGAAUAUUGUAGAUGAUUUUAUUAUAUUAUUGCCCACUUGUGUUUUAAUAAUAAUUUCACUUAAAUCUGCCAUUAGUGCUACGGACUUUUUUUUCCCCCUCUGUUUUCAGGGUUUCUUGCCUCUUAGUCUUAUGUGUUUAUUGCUUUGGUUUUUGUUGUUGUUGCAGCACUGGUACAAGGAUGAGAGGCUCAGCACUCGAGUGAAGGAUGAGGAGGGCUUUCCCUGCUUUGCUCUCGUUAACAAAGUUACUGGUCAGGCUGUGAAGCACUCCAUUGGAGCCACUCAUCCUGUAAGGAUUCUAUGAAAUUUUUUGAGUGAUUGGAAGUUUAUUUGAUGUAAAAUUUCAAGCAUUAUGUCUUUCUUUGUUGUUAAUUUCACAUACUGAUAUAAAUCAACAUGUAUUGACUCAAAUGUCGCUGCUGCUGCUAAUUUGGUUUUGUUUGAAAAUUAGCAUGUUCUUCUGAAUCUGUAUUUUAAUAUUAGGAUGCAGCAAUUUGUUGCAUCCAGGCAUAUUGUUUAUGACCUAUGGGCAAUAUCUACUGGCAAAGAAUCCAAACAACUUACAUGACCGAAAUGUAAGAUGUUAGUUCUGGUAUGCCGGUGAAGAGAAGGCUGAAUAAGGGUAACAUUUAGACUAUAAUGGAAGGCUAUCUCUGUGGAAUUCACGCCCACUCAAUGACUUGCUAACGAGUUAAAUUAAACUUUGCAUUUUCGAGCUCAUUUGAGGAACAAGGAUAUUUCCAAUUCAAUACUACAUGUAACUGGAAUAGAUAUGCAUCUUAAUGGCAAAUUUUGCAUGUUGGUUUCACGUUUUAGACAUGGUUACCUUCUUGUCAAUCAGGAUUUUUCCCUUCAUUUAUUUGAUAUUCGAUUUAGUUUCUUUUAAUUAUAUAUAAUGUUAAUAUGCCAACAUAAAACUUUGAUAAUAUGUCUGCAGGUGCAGCUGAUACCUUAUAAUCCAGAUGUUCUGGAUGAGUCUGUACUGUGGACAGAGAGCAAGGACAUAGGGGAUGGUUACAGAGCUGUAAGAAUGGUCAAUAACAUUCGCCUGAAUGUAGAUGCUUUUCAUGGUGAUAAGAAAUCUGGUGGUGUCCAUGAUGGCACCACCAUUGUGCUUUGGGAAUGGAACAAGGGAGAUAACCAGCGAUGGAGGAUUGUCCCCUACUGUAAGUCUUUCAUCAGUCGAAACACGAAGAAAUAUAGAAUUCCUACCAUAUCUUUCUUAUUUUCAGGUUGCAUCAUUUGAUACUUUUAAAACCAAUAAUGGAAUUUCAAUAUAAAUUAGUCUAGGUAUAUGUAGUUUGGGAAGAUGAAGCCUUACUUUCUCUGCUUCGAGUGUCCCAUCAACUCAUAGAACUGUUCUUAAUUCUUUUUUGGUCUUUUGAUGGUUAUAUGUGCAGGAUUGUGGCAUCGGUACUGUCAUCUAUUGUAGCUGUAUUGUAUUGAGCUUGCAGAAGUAUAUGUGAGGACUGAGGAGGAUUGUUUUCCAUUCUCCAUUGAGUGGUUUGUGUUUUGUGUUCAUGAUGAUUUUCAUUGAUACCUGUUGAGGCACACUGCUUAUUCUCGCUGUGGUUCGUGUAUUCUGUCUAUUGAGUGAGCGUCUUGAUGUGUCAUUAAAACUCAAUUAACUACUGUUACUUUCAUUAUUCAUUAUCUAUGGUGUGGAAUUAUAAUGAAUGCGUAUGAUAAGUGAUACCAAUCCACUAAUGGAUUAAGUCCAGGUGUCCCCAUGUCAUUUUCAUGGCCAUCCAUAGCAUGCACUGAAUUCGGGUCAUGAUGACAUGUGUUUUUCUUUUAAAAGCUGUAAUGUCAUUGAUUACGAUAAAUGAUGUGUAUACAGAAAUAUGGGACGUAGUAUUGUCGAAUGACUGUACUACAAGUCUACGAAGAUUUUUUAUCUACAAGUCUACAUAGUUUUUUUAUUCUUCCUUAGCUAGCAAAUGAUUUGGCAAGGUUGUGACUUGUGGGUUCAAGUUGAGAUUUAUAAAAAGAAAAGGUCAGAUGGAAGCUAAAUUUACUCUUGUUGAUUUACAUGAAGCCACUGCAAUCUCUUGGUUCCGGCUCACCUCUUUCUCUCCGGAGAAUAAUCUUGAACUAGUGAAGAUUUCAGAAAUCAAACAUUUCUCUAUAAUAAUCAUCUAGUAGUAGUACUCUUUAAAAAGAAUAAAAAAAAAAAAAAACUACAGUGGAUUACAACUGAGGCUAGAGGACUUAAACAAAUACAGACAUGAUGAUGAUGAUGUCAAAAGAUCAAACCAAUCCCACGGCAGCAGCCACCCUCCCUACGACCAGUCACCAUCGUCGUACCAUGAAGACAGUGGGUCCACCCCUCUCAAUAUGGAGGAGGGGCACCAACCCACCCCCAUUCAGUGGGCCAUGGGACUACUCGUCACGGAUACAACUCUAGUAGAGGAUACAGUGUAACUCUACUAGAGCCAUGAUAGCCGCGGAUAUAGUGUAACACCAACGUCGCAUGGGACCCACGAUAGUGGCAAAUACAGUGUAGGACUCAUGAUGUCGCAUGGAACCCAUUGUCGUGGCGGGUACAAUGGAGGACCGACAUUGAAUGGGACACGCGGCGGCAGCGGAUACAACGCAGCACCGAUCGCAUGAGACCCCAUGGUAGCAAUUAUGGAAAUAAUCAACCUAAACACAAUAACACCUCAUCUAAUAAAACCAACUUGUAAGAUCUUUUGCAACAAAGAUCCCUGCUGAUUCAUCGGAUAUGACCCAGUUUGUUUAUUAAUUAAGAAUGACGAUUUUAUUUCACUGCAUCAGUUUUCAUAGCAAGGUCCUGAGUUAAAACGUUACUCUUCAACAGCAUUGGUACAAAGAUCAGAGGUGCAGCACAGAAGUAAAGGAUUCAGAAGGCUGCCCCCGCGUUGCUAUGGUUAACAAAGCUACUAAUUUGGCCAUGAAGCACGGCAAAGGCCCCACAGAACCCGUAAGAUCACUUCAUAGCAUCUCUAAGUGACUUCAACUAAAAAGUCGAAAUUGAAGUAAAUUAAUUCAUUUAAGGAGUUCCAAAUUCGUUUGUGCGUGCAGGUCAGGCUGGAGCCAUAUGAUCCAAGCGAUGAAAAGGAUGUGACAUUACUGUGGACACAGAGCCAGGACUUUGGGGAUGGUUACAGAACAAUAAAGAUGGGACUGAUGGCAGUGGCGGAUACAAUGCACCACCUACAUCGCAUGGAAUCCGCAGUGGAUAUCGCAUGUUAGCCGCGGUCGCGGUGGAUACAGUGCACCACUAGUGUCGCAUGGGACUCACGACAGUGGCAAAUACAGUGGAAAACCAACUUCGCAUGCGGCCUACGACGACUUCUGAUAUAGUGCAGCACCGACGCCUCAUGGGACCCACGAUAGUUGAAAAUACAGUGUAGGACCGAUGUCGCAUGGGACCCAUUGUUGUUGUGGAUACAAAGCAGGACCGACAUUCGAGGGGACACGCGGCGGCAGCGGAUACAAUGCAGCACCGAUGUCGCAUGGGACCCACGGUAGCAGUCGUGGAAAUAAUCAACCUGAGCACAAUGACACCUCAUCUAAUAAACCAACUUGUAAGAUCUUUUGCAAGAAAGAGCCCUGGUUUCUCUCUAGGUGGUAAAGACAAGGCUGUGAUUCUCGUACCUGCUGAUUCAUCAGAUAUGAGUGACCCAGUUUGUUUGCUCAUUAAGAAUUAAGGGCCGUUUUAUUUCACUCCAUCACAUUAAUCUUUAGAGCUCAGGUUACAUAAUUGAAUUAUAACGUUACUCGCCUGCGGCAGUGGUACAAAGAUGAGAGGUAGUACAGCACAAAAAUAAAGGAUUCAGAGUGCUGUCCCUGCUUUGCUCUGGUUAACAAAGCUCCUAAUAUGGCCAUGAAGCACGGCAAAGGCCCCACAGAACCUGUAAGAUCACUUCAUAACUCACAACAUCUCUAAUUGACUUAAUUAAAAAGUCGAAAUUAAAGUAAUUAGUUCAUUUAAGGAGUGCCAAAUUCGCGGGUGCAUGCAGGUGUGGCUGGAGCCGUAUGAUCCAAGUGAUGGAAACUGGAAAGGAUGUGACGUUACUUGUGGACACAAAGCGAGGACUUUGGGGAUUGUUACAGAACAAUAAAGAUGGUGAUUGGUGAAUAAUAUUAAGCUCAAUGCCGAUGCUUUUCAUGGGGACCAACGUAUUGAAGAUGGCACUAAGAUUGUUUUGUGGGAGUGGACCUACCGGCUUUGGAAAAUCAUCAGCCACCUUUAAAGGAUUUUUGGAAAUUUCGUACACAAAAACAAUUCCUUCUUUUUUUUCUUUUUUUUCUUUUGCGCUUGAAACCUUGUAACUUCACAAUUUUGCUUUAAACCUUGUAACUUCUAAAAGUAAUGAAACACUAACACAUCAAAAUAUUUGAAGGUCAGAGGAACUGAGAAACGGGAAGAUAAGCGAAGAAACCAUUUUUUGGAAUCUUGAUUUUUUUUUCAUAUGGUUGUAUAAAUAUAAUAUGCUCACAAUAUAAAAGGCUGAAUCCAAGGCCCAGAAGAGAAAUGAUAUACGGAGUUGUGGACUGGAUGGAACAGUUGAUUUAGAACAGAAAGAGCCUUGGCCCUUUUACAAAUCAGCACCAGCCGGCUACAUGCAAGGACCGGAGCUUUUAACACCCUCCUAAAAUUCUUAUUACACCCAUAAUAGUAAAAUCUCAUAAGUUUGCAAAAAUAAAUAUUUUUAACUAGAAUUUAAAAUGAAAUUUCAUUCAAGUGUUUAAUUGAAUUUCUAUUUAAAAUAAGAAAUGAAUUAAUUUAACUUUGGUUAUUUUAAUGGUUUCAAUUGAAAAGGGGUUCUAUGAAUUUUGAGGGGCGGCGGAAGGCAUACCCUCUUUAACAUCUAGUUAAUGAUAGAAUGUUUGACAUCGGCCCAAAUCAUGCAUUUAUAUUAUAAAUUUUAAAAUUAGAAGAAGAAAAUGAAUAUUGGGUACUGAUUUUCAUAAAAGAAGUAUUAGACAUCUCAAUAUUUUAUAAACAAAUAAUAUGCUUUUCAUCAACUAAAUGAUGGGAUAAUGUAAUUAAUUUAAUUAAAUUUUAUAUUAAAAAAAAUAAACCACUUAAUAUGUAGUCUAUUGUAAAUCUUUCAAUUAAUUAGUUUGUUAUUGUGAGAGAGAUUUUUGGCAAAAUGGCUUUACUAUUUUAUUAUUCAAUUGAUGAUCCUAAUUGACUUUACGAGCUGGCCAACUUGUCGAAUCCAUCGCCAUCGCAACAGGAUUUGGUCUUGACACAAAGUGGUGACAUUUAUAUGACAUAUAUAGGUUAUCAAUUAAGUCUUCUAUCACGUAAAGUAAGUACCAAAAUAACUUUAGUCACGGAACAAUAUCUUGUUGGGAUGAGUUUUUAUUCUAUGACAUUUAUAUAUGUUAUGACUACAUCAUAAUCUCAGCUUUUAUUUAAACAAAUACAUGACAUUGAUCGUUGAUAAUUUAUAAUCAAGAGAACUUUAGUCCAGCUAUUACAAUAAUCAUAAUUACUAAAAAAAAAUCAACAUUUAAUAAUAAACAUUUGACAUUGUAAGGGAUAUUUAAUUUAACAAUCGUUCACUGGGUUGUCAUUCCAUGCUCAUUAGGGUAUAUAAUUGAUUCCUUUUGUCUCAUACUCAAUGAGCUGGCCAAAUUGCCUAAUCCGUCUCUAUCACCUGGAACAAUUUUUGGUUUUAACAAGCAGUGUUGACAUAAUGUUGGCAUUUAUACGAUCUAUGGUUUCGUCCGAGUCUUUUUCUCUCUAAAUUGUAAUUACCAAAAAUAACCCAACACAUAGAUUUGCAAUUCUGAUUCACGGAACCAUAUUUGUGGGAAGAGUUUUUCGUUACAUUAAACAUCACAAUUAUUAAGUAAUUAUAACAAUUAAUCAACUUAUUGUAGAAACAAAUCUAUUUGCUUUCAUAACUAUUAAUGCUUAGGUCUCACUUCCAUGCCCUCAACUAUAAUCCCACCUUUUAGUUGAUACCCUUUCACCUCCUUCAAGCUCAUUUUCACCUCAUCAUCAUCACACACACCAUUAAAGAAUUUUCCAAGCUCGAUUUCCACCCACCCAUCUUCUUUUUCACAUGGGAUUUGUUCAUUUUCGCCGCCUUUAUGUGUCAACUUUGAUGUCACCAUCAUUUCCAUGCCAUCCACUAGCAC